This 74-nucleotide transfer RNA is filed under the name Lynchius megacephalus. RNAcentral describes it as "tRNA-Leu". It matches the Rfam family "tRNA". Rfam says of the family: Transfer RNA (tRNA) molecules are approximately 80 nucleotides in length. Their secondary structure includes four short double-helical elements and three loops (D, anti-codon, and T loops). Further hydrogen bonds mediate the characteristic L-shaped molecular structure. tRNAs have two regions of fundamental functional importance: the anti-codon, which is responsible for specific mRNA codon recognition, and the 3' end, to which the tRNAs corresponding amino acid is attached (by aminoacyl-tRNA synthetases). tRNAs cope with the degeneracy of the genetic code in two manners: having more than one tRNA (with a specific anti-codon) for a particular amino acid; and 'wobble' base-pairing, i.e. permitting non-standard base-pairing at the 3rd anti-codon position. The record is from RNAcentral. Lineage: Eukaryota; Metazoa; Chordata; Amphibia; Anura; Strabomantidae.
AAUUAAUGUAGCGUAACCAGGCGAUGCAAGAGACCUAAACCCUUUUUAUGGAGGUUCAANUCCCCUCAUUAACU